CUUAAGGUCAGCGUGGAUCAGACCAAGACUCUUGAGCUUCAUCAAGGCUGUGGCCACCUGCUGCAAGAUUGGUCUGAUGUACUUGAGUGGCAGUGGGCUAAAUUUGUUUUGCUUUAGAAAAUCAUAUAAGUUCUGCUCCAACAUUUCAAAAACAAGGCAGUAGGAGGGGUGGUUCUUCAAGAUUUUAAUAGCCACAAUUUCCUUGGUGCUCCUCUUCCAGCACUUAGCCACCUGUCCAAAUGUCCCCCGGCCUAGGAACUCCAAGACUUCAUAGCUAUUGGUCAUAGAGCAAAGGAUCUCAUGCUGGACCAGCUGGUAAUCCCCUUCUCCGCUGGAACUGCUACUCUUUGUGGUCACAGUGGUGGUUGUGGCAGCAGCACCCACCACAGUCCUGUUUUGCAGCAUGAGAGGGGGAUGUUCUUCUAUGAUCUGCACACUACCGUUGCUGUCAACUUCCUCACUUUUUCGUUUCAAUCCACAUUUUUGAUAUGGCUCAAGCAAAGAAACGUUGCUUCUGUGAGUCAGGGUCUGGCUGCUUUGGAAGGUUGAUGUAGCAGCACUGCCCGAGCUAUCAGCGGCUGUUACAACAAUAUGCUCCACUGCAGGAGCUGGGAGGAGGAGGCCCUGGUCGUAAGCAGGGAUGUUGAAAUUUGCUACCUAGUUUCUUCGCACUGCAGAAGGCACUCGACGACACUGAUGGGGGCGAAAACACUUGCAGCUGUGAUGCCAUACCUAUAUUGAGAGAAAGGAAGAAUUAGACCAC
RNAcentral lists this long non-coding RNA (763 nucleotides) under Homo sapiens (human). RNAcentral's name for it is "HSALNT0013001". Lineage: Eukaryota; Metazoa; Chordata; Mammalia; Primates; Hominidae. The record is from RNAcentral.